AGUAUUAUGUCUGAAUAAAAGUAGUAAACUGUAAAUUUACUUAUAAGAUAAAUUAUCUUUAAUACUA
Molecule: transfer RNA, 67 nt
Filed under: Ageniella agenioides
Lineage: Eukaryota; Metazoa; Arthropoda; Insecta; Hymenoptera; Pompilidae
Description: tRNA-Tyr
Source: RNAcentral